GACGAACGCUGGCGGCGUGCCUAGUACAUGCAAGUCGUGCGGACCUUGUUGAAAGCUUGCUUUUAAAAGGUUAGCGGCGGACGGGUGAGUAACACGUGGGCAACCUGCCUGUAAGACUGGGAUAACGCCGGGAAACCGGGGCUAAUACCAGAUCGUUUUUUCCUCCGCAUGGAGGAAAAAGGAAAGGCGGCUUCGGCUGCCACUUACAGAUGGGCCCGCGGCGCAUUAGCUAGUUGGCGGGGUAAUGGCCCACCAAGGCAACGAUGCGUAGCCGACCUGAGAGGGUGAUCGGCCACAUUGGGACUGAGACACGGCCCAAACUCCUACGGGAGGCAGCAGUAGGGAAUCUUCCGCAAUGGACGAAAGUCUGACGGAGCAACGCCGCGUGAGUGAAGAAGGCCUUCGGGUCGUAAAACUCUGUUGCCGGGGAAGAACAAGUGCCGUUCGAACAGGGCGGCGCCUUGACGGUACCCGGCCAGAAAGCCACGGCUAACUACGUG
This 500-nucleotide ribosomal RNA is filed under the name uncultured bacterium. RNAcentral's name for it is "partial 16S ribosomal RNA". It matches the Rfam family "Bacterial small subunit ribosomal RNA", at positions 28 to 507 of the family's 1533-position model. The record is from RNAcentral.